GCUAACGAGUGUAGGAAUGUGUA
This 23-nucleotide non-coding RNA is filed under the name Arabidopsis thaliana (thale cress). The record is from RNAcentral. Lineage: Eukaryota; Viridiplantae; Streptophyta; Magnoliopsida; Brassicales; Brassicaceae.